This 1040-nucleotide long non-coding RNA is filed under the name Brassica napus (rape). Its description in RNAcentral is "long non-coding RNA (BNAP_LNC024708)". Lineage: Eukaryota; Viridiplantae; Streptophyta; Magnoliopsida; Brassicales; Brassicaceae. The record is from RNAcentral.
CAUGUACGGUCCCUAUAUUUAAUUUCGAAUAACAUAAUUAGAACCAUAUUUCAUAUUUGAUUGAAGGGAAACUUCAAAAAAAAAAAUUUAUACCAUUGGAUUGGAAUGAUUCAACGGUUGAGAUUAGUAGUUUAAGUUAUCCUCACCAUUGGCUCCCAUUGGUCGAACCCAUUGGAAGUAACGCCGUAUUUUCCUGAUAUAGGGAGUCAUCCUAUAGAUUCUACUACGCUAAUCGAUUCAUCUCUUCCCUCAAACCACCACAAGUCUCUCUCAUAUGUCGUAAUCCAUCUCAAGCCACCACAACACUAAGAUCCUCCACAAUCCUAUCCCAAUUCUGUUUCAACCGGCAUAGUUUAGAUUAGAGCAUUAUCUUAGACAGGUAAUCAACAUCUAGACCAUUGAUCUUAUUCAUCCAUCUCUCUGAUCUUUCUAAUACACCGCAAGCCUCAUAUAUCCACAAAGAUUUGAAGCCUUACGUUUCUCAAAGAUAUAACCAAAGAUCUAGCUUUCAUAAAUUUAUAAGUUUAGUCUUCCCUAAUUGCCUCAUCAGAUAGGUUUGUUAAAUAGCUAGGAUUGCAUGUUCUUAUUAUCAUUUUUAUCCUUAUUCUAAAGAUCUAGAUUUGGUUAACUUUUACAGCUACCAACUCUGAUGGAAGCAAAGAAGCAGUCAACACAGCUCAACCAGCCACAACAACCGCCACAACAAUUAGCGGUCAGCACAGCUCAGCCAGCCACAUCAAUAAGCACUCAAGGAAGCUCAACCUCAGGAGUAACUAAUGUAUACAAGCUAAGCAAAGCCGAGCUCAGACGCUACUAAUUGACACGCAUUGAGGAACCAGAAGAACACAUCGACCCAGACUACUUGCAUUAUUUGAGAGCAAUAGGUGCGUACGACUCAUUUCAGCAGCAGUCAGAACGAGGAAAGGGUCGUGGUCGUAAGAGUCGACGCUAACACAUCUACCUAAUAUUCCUAAUGUUGUGAUAUUUGUAUCACCACUGCUACGCUAAUCUUUUAUUUGCUUCAGUAUGCUAUAUUUGCU